AGUGAACGCUGGCGGUAGGCCUAACACAUGCAAGUCGAACGGCAGCACAGUAAGAGCUUGCUCUUACGGGUGGCGAGUGGCGGACGGGUGAGGAAUACAUCGGAAUCUACUUUUUCGUGGGGGAUAACGUAGGGAAACUUACGCUAAUACCGCAUACGACCUACGGGUGAAAGCAGGGGAUCUUCGGACCUUGCGCGAUUGAAUGAGCCGAUGUCGGAUUAGCUAGUUGGCGGGGUAAAGGCCCACCAAGGCGACGAUCCGUAGCUGGUCUGAGAGGAUGGUCGCCCACACUGGAACUGAGACACGGUCCAGACUCCUACGGGAGGCAGCAGUGGGGAAUAUUGGACAAUGGGCGCAAGCCUGAUCCAGCCAUACCGCGUGGGUGAAGAAGGCCUUCGGGUUGUAAAGCCCUUUUGUUGGGAAAGAAAAGCAGCAGGUUAAUACCCCGCUGUUCUGACGGUACCCAAAGAAUAAGCACCGGCUAACUUCGUG
RNAcentral lists this ribosomal RNA (492 nucleotides) under uncultured bacterium. RNAcentral describes it as "partial 16S ribosomal RNA". It matches the Rfam family "Bacterial small subunit ribosomal RNA", at positions 29 to 507 of the family's 1533-position model. The record is from RNAcentral.